RNAcentral lists this ribosomal RNA (910 nucleotides) under uncultured bacterium. RNAcentral's name for it is "bacterial SSU rRNA". It matches the Rfam family "Bacterial small subunit ribosomal RNA", at positions 33 to 911 of the family's 1533-position model. The record is from RNAcentral.
ACGCUGGCGGCGUGCCUAAUACAUGCAAGUCGAGCGAGCUGAAUUCAAAGAUCCCUUCGGGGUGAUUUGUUGGACGCUAGCGGCGGAUGGGUGAGUAACACGUGGGCAAUCUGCCCUAAAGACUGGGAUACCACUUGGAAACAGGUGCUAAUACCGGAUAACAACAUGAAUCGCAUGAUUCAAGUUUGAAAGGCGGCGCAGGCUGUCACUUUAGGAUGAGCCCGCGGCGCAUUAGCUAGUUGGUGGGGUAAAGGCCUACCAAGGCAAUGAUGCGUAGCCGAGUUGAGAGACUGAUCGGCCACAUUGGGACUGAGACACGGCCCAAACUCCUACGGGAGGCAGCAGUAGGGAAUCUUCCACAAUGGACGCAAGUCUGAUGGAGCAACGCCGCGUGAGUGAAGAAGGUCUUCGGAUCGUAAAGCUCUGUUGUUGGUGAAGAAGGAUAGAGGCAGUAACUGGUCUUUAUUUGACGGUAAUCAACCAGAAAGUCACGGCUAACUACGUGCCAGCAGCCGCGGUAAUACGUAGGUGGCGAGCGUUGUCCGGAUUUAUUGGGCGUAAAGCGAGCGCAGGCGGAAUGAUAAGUCUGAUGCGAAAGCCCACGGCUCAACCGUGGAACUGCAUCGGAAACUGUCAUUCUUGAGUGCAGAAGAGGAGAGUGGAACUCCAUGUGUAGCGGUGGAAUGCGUAGAUAUAUGGAAGAACACCAGUGGCGAAGGCGGCUCUCUGGUCUGCAACUGACGCUGAGGCUCGAAAGCAUGGGUAGCGAACAGGAUUAGAUACCCUGGUAGUCCAUGCCGUAAACGAUGAGCGCUAGGUGUUGGGGACUUUCCGGUCCUCAGUGCCGCAGCAAACGCAUUAAGCGCUCCGCCUGGGGAGUACGACCGCAAGGUUGAAACUCAAAGGAAUU